RNAcentral lists this ribosomal RNA (552 nucleotides) under Penicillium corylophilum. RNAcentral's name for it is "eukaryotic LSU rRNA". The stretch from base 172 to 325 matches the Rfam family "5.8S ribosomal RNA". Lineage: Eukaryota; Fungi; Ascomycota; Eurotiomycetes; Eurotiales; Aspergillaceae. The record is from RNAcentral.
GUCGGGUGAGGCCUCUGGGUCACCUCCCACCCAUGUUUAUUGUACCUUGUUGCUUCGGCGGGCCCGCCUCACGGCCGCCGGGGGGCUUCUGCCCUCUGGCCCGCGCCCGCCGAAGACACCAUUGAACACUGUCUGAAGAUUGCAGUCUGAGCAAUUAGCUAAAUAAGUUAAAACUUUCAACAACGGAUCUCUUGGUUCCGGCAUCGAUGAAGAACGCAGCGAAAUGCGAUACGUAAUGUGAAUUGCAGAAUUCAGUGAAUCAUCGAGUCUUUGAACGCACAUUGCGCCCCUUGGUAUUCCGGGGGGCAUGCCUGUCCGAGCGUCAUUGCUGCCCUCAAGCACGGCUUGUGUGUUGGGCCCCGUCCUCCUUCCCGGGGGACGGGCCCGAAAGGCAGCGGCGGCACCGCGUCCGGUCCUCGAGCGUAUGGGGCUUUGUCACCCGCUCUUGUAGGCCCGGCCGGCGCUUGCCGACAACCAUCAAUCUUUUUUCAGGUUGACCUCGGAUCAGGUAGGGAUACCCGCUGAACUUAAGCAUAUCAAUAAGCGGAGGAA